Molecule: ribosomal RNA, 329 nt
Filed under: uncultured eukaryote
Lineage: Eukaryota
Description: partial 18S ribosomal RNA
Rfam family: Eukaryotic small subunit ribosomal RNA
Source: RNAcentral
CCCUUAGAUGUCCUGGGCCGCACGCGCGCUACACUGAUGCAUGCAACGAGUUUUUCCUUCGCCGAAAGGUGUGGGUAAUCUUUUGAAACAUCGUCGUGCUGGGGAUAGAUCAUUGCAAUUUUUGAUCUUGAACGAGGAAUUCCUAGUAAGCGCGAGUCAUCAGCUCGCGUUGAUUACGUCCCUGCCCUUUGUACACACCGCCCGUCGCUACUACCGAUUGAAUGGUUUAGUGAGGACUCCUGAUUGGCGCCGCCGCCCCGGCAACGGAGCAGCGGACUGCCGAAAAGUUGUUCAAACUUGAUCAUUUAGAGGAAGUAAAAGUCGUAACA